RNAcentral lists this long non-coding RNA (984 nucleotides) under Homo sapiens (human). RNAcentral's name for it is "HSALNT0386946". The record is from RNAcentral. Lineage: Eukaryota; Metazoa; Chordata; Mammalia; Primates; Hominidae.
GCUCCUUCCUUCCCCCACGGCGCUAGCUCCCGCUGGCCACCUCGGGACCGCAGCCACGUCUGAAAGCGCCUCAUUGUGUGCGCUCGGGCGGGCUGCACCGGGCAGCGCCGAGGGUUGCCGGCCGGCGCGCGGGGAGUAGAGGGCGCGGGCCGCAGUGCCGGGUUCCAGAGGGAGCUCUGCGCCGGGUCCUUCCCUGUGGUAGCCCCAGGACACCCCCAGCCUCAACAUCCCAUUCUGGGACUCCUGCCCUGUUCCCACAUUCGUUCUACCUCGAGUCUCCAGGAGCUUCCAGUGGCUUGGUCACCGCCAACUCUCGUCCAUGCCUCUUAGAGCCCCUUUCCCGGCCUCACCGGGUGUCGCUUAAUAGUCUUGGGACCUUAAGGAGCAAGUCAGCCCCUGCGGACCCUCCCAGUGAAGAGAAAGAGCUGGCUGUGCGGUGGAAUUUGGAAGAGACGACGUUUGGGAGCCUUUGCUGAGUCCAGGGAGAGAGGCGUCCCCCACCGUGCCGCUGCAGCUCGGGCAGAGCCGCCAAGCUUUGGGGUGCUGAGGAACCUCUAAUCAUCUCCCAUGGAUUUGUGAUCAGCGUUGCAGCUCUCCCAGCAGCCCUGGACAGUGAGAACCUGCGUGCUGCUCCUUUGCUUCGGACCUCCGCCUCUGCCCGGGAGAAAGCCCAGGCCAGCCUGCUGGACAAGCAGAGACCAUGAGAAGGAGAGUUCAGGGGUCCCAAACCAGGCCAUCCUAGACCAGCCAGCUCCAGCUGAUCCGCACGCAGCCACUUCGGCUACCUUCUACUGGCCAAAGGGAGUCCCAGGGCUCACCCAGAUUCAGAGGUGGGGAAACUGAGUCCACCACUUGAGAAGAGUAGCUAUAAAGACAUAUGAGCGAGGCCAGCUGAGCCCAGCACUGCGGCCAAGUCGAAGACUUUAGGAGCAAUAAAAGUGCUUAUUGUGUUUCAGUCAUUUGAGUGUUGUGGUGGUUUGUUAC